CCGCACGCGCGCUACACUGACAGAGCCAGCGAGUACUCCCUUGACCGGAAGGUCUGGGUAAUCUUGUUAAACUCUGUCGUGCUGGGGAUAGAGCAUUGCAAUUAUUGCUCUUCAACGAGGAAUUCCUAGUAAGCGCAAGUCAUCAGCUUGCGUUGAUUACGU
This 162-nucleotide ribosomal RNA is filed under the name uncultured eukaryote. RNAcentral's name for it is "partial 18S ribosomal RNA". It matches the Rfam family "Eukaryotic small subunit ribosomal RNA", at positions 1487 to 1650 of the family's 1831-position model. The record is from RNAcentral.